AGUGAACGCUGGCGGUAGGCCUAACACAUGCAAGUCGAACGGCAGCACAGGAGAGCUUGCUCUCUGGGUGGCGAGUGGCGGACGGGUGAGGAAUACAUCGGAAUCUACUUUUUCGUGGGGGAUAACGUAGGGAAACUUACGCUAAUACCGCAUACGACCCACGGGUGAAAGCAGGGGACCUUCGGGCCUUGCGCGAUUGAAUGAGCCGAUGUCGGAUUAGCUAGUUGGCGGGGUAAAGGCCCACCAAGGCGACGAUCCGUAGCUGGUCUGAGAGGAUGAUCAGCCACACUGGAACUGAGACACGGUCCAGACUCCUACGGGAGGCAGCAGUGGGGAAUAUUGGACAAUGGGCGCAAGCCUGAUCCAGCCAUACCGCGUGGGUGAAGAAGGCCUUCGGGUUGUAAAGCCCUUUUGUCGGGAAAGAAAUCCAGCUGGCUAAUACCCGGUUGGGAUGACGGUACCCAAAGGAUAAGCACCGGCUAACUUCGUGCCAGCCGCCGCCGUAA
Molecule: ribosomal RNA, 506 nt
Filed under: uncultured bacterium
Lineage: Bacteria
Description: partial 16S ribosomal RNA
Rfam family: Bacterial small subunit ribosomal RNA
Source: RNAcentral